Molecule: ribosomal RNA, 469 nt
Filed under: Bacillus sp. HSS-434
Lineage: Bacteria; Bacillati; Bacillota; Bacilli; Caryophanales; Bacillaceae
Description: bacterial SSU rRNA
Rfam family: Bacterial small subunit ribosomal RNA
Source: RNAcentral
GAUCCCUGGCUCAGGAUGNACGCUGGCGGCGUGCCUAAUACAUGCAAGUCGAGCGGACUUACAAAAGCUUGCUUUUGUAAGUUAGCGGCGGACGGGUGAGUAACACGUGGGCAACCUGCCCUUGAGACUGGGAUAACUUCGGGAAACCGGAGCUAAUACCGGAUAAUAUGAGGAACCUCCUGGUUCCUUAUUGAAAGAUGGUUUCGGCUAUCACUUAAGGAUGGGCCCGCGGCGCAUUAGCUAGUUGGUGAGGUAACGGCUCACCAAGGCGACGAUGCGUAGCCGACCUGAGAGGGUGAUCGGCCACACUGGGACUGAGACACGGCCCAGACUCCUACGGGAGGCAGCAGUAGGGAAUCUUCCACAAUGGACGAAAGUCUGAUGGAGCAACGCCGCGUGAGUGAUGAAGGCCUUCGGGUCGUAAAGCUCUGUUGUUAGGGAAGAACAAGUGCGAGAGUAACUGCUCGCA